UGAAGAGUUUGAUCAUGGCUCAGAUUGAACGCUGGCGGCAGGCCUAACACAUGCAAGUCGAACGGUAACAGGAAGCAGCUUGCUGCUUUGCUGACGAGUGGCGGACGGGUGAGUAAUGUCUGGGAAACUGCCUGAUGGAGGGGGAUAACUACUGGAAACGGUGGCUAAUACCGCAUAACGUCGCAAGACCAAAGAGGGGGACCUUCGGGCCUCUUGCCAUCAGAUGUGCCCAGAUGGGAUUAGCUUGUUGGUGAGGUAACGGCUCACCAAGGCGACGAUCCCUAGCUGGUCUGAGAGGAUGACCAGCCACACUGGAACUGAGACACGGUCCAGACUCCUACGGGAGGCAGCAGUGGGGAAUAUUGCACAAUGGGCGCAAGCCUGAUGCAGCCAUGCCGCGUGUAUGAAGAAGGCCUUCGGGUUGUAAAGUACUUUCAGCGGGGAGGAAGGUGUUGUGGUUAAUAACCGCAGCAAUUGACGUUACCCGCAGAAGAAGCACCGGCUAACUCCGUGCCAGCAGCCGCGGUAAUACGGAGGGUGCAAGCGUUAAUCGGAAUUACUGGGCGUAAAGCGCACGCAGGCGGUCUGUCAAGUCGGAUGUGAAAUCCCCGGGCUCAACCUGGGAACUGCAUUCGAAACUGGCAGGCUUGAGUCUUGUAGAGGGGGGUAGAAUUCCAGGUGUAGCGGUGAAAUGCGUAGAGAUCUGGAGGAAUACCGGUGGCGAAGGCGGCCCCCUGGACAAAGACUGACGCUCAGGUGCGAAAGCGUGGGGAGCAAACAGGAUUAGAUACCCUGGUAGUCCACGCCGUAAACGAUGUCUACUUGGAGGUUGUGCCCUUGAGGCGUGGCUUCCGGAGCUAACGCGUUAAGUAGACCGCCUGGGGAGUACGGCCGCAAGGUUAAAACUCAAAUGAAUUGACGGGGGCCCGCACAAGCGGUGGAGCAUGUGGUUUAAUUCGAUGCAACGCGAAGAACCUUACCUGGUCUUGACAUCCACAGAACUUUCCAGAGAUGGAUUGGUGCCUUCGGGAACUGUGAGACAGGUGCUGCAUGGCUGUCGUCAGCUCGUGUUGUGAAAUGUUGGGUUAAGUCCCGCAACGAGCGCAACCCUUAUCCUUUGUUGCCAGCGGUC
Molecule: ribosomal RNA, 1132 nt
Filed under: Salmonella enterica
Lineage: Bacteria; Pseudomonadati; Pseudomonadota; Gammaproteobacteria; Enterobacterales; Enterobacteriaceae
Description: bacterial SSU rRNA
Rfam family: Bacterial small subunit ribosomal RNA
Source: RNAcentral